Molecule: ribosomal RNA, 440 nt
Filed under: uncultured soil bacterium
Lineage: Bacteria
Description: bacterial SSU rRNA
Rfam family: Bacterial small subunit ribosomal RNA
Source: RNAcentral
AGAACGAACGCUGGCGGCAUGCCUAAUACAUGCAAGUCGAACGAACUCUUCGGAGUUAGUGGCGCACGGGUGCGUAACGCGUGGGAAUCUGCCCCUUGGUUCGGAAUAACAGUUGGAAACGACUGCUAAUACCGGAUGAUGACGAAAGUCCAAAGAUUUAUCGCCAAGGGAUGAGCCCGCGUAGGAUUAGCUAGUUGGUGAGGUAAAGGCUCACCAAGGCAACGAUCCUUAGCUGGUCUGAGAGGAUGAUCAGCCACACUGGGACUGAGACACGGCCCAGACUCCUACGGGAGCAGCAGUAGGAUAUGGACAAUGGGCGAAAGCCUGAUCCAGCAAUGCCGCGUGAGUGAGUGAAGGCUUAGGGUGUAAAGUCUCUUUACCCGAGUAUGAAUAAUGAACAGUAGUCGGAAGUAAGUAACGGCCCCCGGAUAACCGUCCGU